Molecule: ribosomal RNA, 253 nt
Filed under: uncultured bacterium
Lineage: Bacteria
Description: partial 16S ribosomal RNA
Rfam family: Bacterial small subunit ribosomal RNA
Source: RNAcentral
UACGAAGGGGGCUAGCGUUGCUCGGAAUCACUGGGCGUAAAGGGUGCGUAGGCGGGUCUUUAAGUCAGGGGUGAAAUUCUGGAGCUCAACUCCAGAACUGCCUUUGAUACUGAGGAUCUUGAGUCCGGGAGAGGUGAGUGGAACUGCGAGUGUAGAGGUGAAAUUCGUAGAUAUUCGCAAGAACACCAGUGGCGAAGGCGGCUCACUGGCCCGGUACUGACGCUGAGGCACGAAAGCGUGGGGAGCAAACAGG